UGUUGAGUUUGCGCCAGUUUUUACUUUCCUUAAAGUAAUUUUUAGGUCUCCUGUAAAGGGUUGUUAUAAAUUUUUGGUUUACCUUUUGUAUAAGGGUUUCUAGAAUGUGGAAAAUUUUCUUUUUUAGAAUUAAGGGGAUCUUGGAUGGUUAUUUUAAACUUAAUAUUAUUUUUAAUUCUUUCUAAGGAGUGAUACGCUUACGUCCCUUAAUCUAUCUAGUUUUUAUGCUUUUAAAGAAGGGUAAUCCUUCUCUUUUGGUGUGUUAUUUAGAAUGUUUGUGUUGCCUUAAUAGUAGGUUUUUGUGUAAUAACGAAUACUGUUUUACUCAUCUUAUAUUUUUUGCUAUAAAUUAAAAUUAAUUAGUUUAUGAGUAGAGUGUUAGUUUAAUUUUUUGUUUUAUUUUUAUUUUCUUUUGUGAAAUCUUUGUUUCUUACUCUUUACCUUUCGAUUUGUUUAUUAAAAUCUUAGCUAAGAUUUUCUUAGUUUCUUCUGCCCUAUGGGAUUUCUUAAUGGCUGUGGUUUCCACACUAAGGUAGCGAAAUCAUUAGUUACUUAAUUAGUAACUUGUAUGAAAGGAGGGAUCGGCAGGCUAUUCUUAAGUGGGUUUGAAAUUAUACUGUCGUUGAAAAUAACGACUUAUACUCUAAGACAAAAAGACCCUAGAAUUUUUAUAAGUUUUCUUAUUUGGUUGGGGCAACAAUAAAAUUUUAAUAUUUUUAUUUUUAUUUUUCUUUGAACUCUUUUUAAGGAGAGAUUGGAAAAUACUCUAGGGAUAACAGCUUUAUGACCUUUUUGAGUUCUUAUUAAUAAGGUUGCUUGGGACCUCGAUGUUGGAUUAAGGGUGCUUCAGAGGCGUAGAGGCUCUGGUAGUUAGACUGUUCGUCUAUUAAAUCCUUACAUGAUCUGAGUUAAAGUCGGCGUGAGCCAGACUGGAUUUUAUCUAGAGUUUUAAACUACUUCUGUGGAUCAGUACGAAAGGACCUUUCACAGGUUAUUUUUAAUUUUUAAUAAAUUUUU
Molecule: ribosomal RNA, 1017 nt
Filed under: Rhizoglyphus robini
Lineage: Eukaryota; Metazoa; Arthropoda; Arachnida; Sarcoptiformes; Acaridae
Description: 16S ribosomal RNA
Rfam family: Archaeal large subunit ribosomal RNA (bases 642-946)
Source: RNAcentral